RNAcentral lists this ribosomal RNA (107 nucleotides) under uncultured bacterium. RNAcentral describes it as "partial 16S ribosomal RNA". It matches the Rfam family "Bacterial small subunit ribosomal RNA", at positions 1377 to 1482 of the family's 1533-position model. The record is from RNAcentral.
AGCCUUGUACACACCGCCCGUCAAGCCACGAAAGUGGGGGGGGGCCCAACAGCGCUGUCGUAACCGCAAGGAACAAGGCGCCUAAGGUCAACUCCGUGAUUGGGACU